Echinicola vietnamensis DSM 17526 is the source of this 36-nucleotide regulatory RNA element. It matches the Rfam family "DUF805b RNA". Rfam says of the family: Bacteroidetes, Chlorobi (1 example), Proteobacteria. Lineage (Flavobacteria) NCBI's taxonomy places the organism in Bacteria, Pseudomonadati, Bacteroidota, Cytophagia, Cytophagales, Cyclobacteriaceae. The record is from Rfam.
GAUGGGGAAGCCGAAAACCAUUUUUUAGAGUAGGCA